UGGGGAAUAUUGCACAAUGGGCGCAAGCCUGAUGCAGCCAUGCCGCGUGUAUGAAGAAGGCCUUCGGGUUGUAAAGUACUUUCAGUCGGGAGGAAGGUGGUAAGGUUAAUAACCUUGGCAAUUGACGUUACCGACAGAAGAAGCACCGGCUAACUCCGUGCCAGCAGCCGCGGUAAUACGGAGGGUGCAAGCGUUAAUCGGAAUUACUGGGCGUAAAGCGCACGCAGGCGGUUGAUUGAGUCAGAUGUGAAAUCCCCGGGCUUAACCCGGGAGUUGCAUCUGAUACUGGUCAGCUAGAGUCUUGUAGAGGGGGGUAGAAUUCCAUGUGUAGCGGUGAAAUGCGUAGAGAUGUGGAGGAAUACCGGUGGCGAAGGCGGCCCCCUGGACAAAGACUGACGCUCAGGUGCGAAAGCGUGGGGAGCAAACAGG
RNAcentral lists this ribosomal RNA (429 nucleotides) under Chloroflexota bacterium. RNAcentral describes it as "Chloroflexi bacterium partial 16S ribosomal RNA". It matches the Rfam family "Bacterial small subunit ribosomal RNA", at positions 355 to 776 of the family's 1533-position model. The record is from RNAcentral. Lineage: Bacteria; Bacillati; Chloroflexota.